GGUGGUAAUGCCGGAUGCUCCGGUUGGAUGCAUGUCCUUCCGGGAAAGAUUCCAUCGGUAUGGGAUGGGGUCGCGUCCUAUCAGCUUGAUGGCGGGGUAACGGCCCACCAUGGCUUCGACGGGUAGCCGGCCUGAGAGGGCGACCGGCCACAUUGGGACUGAGAUACGGCCCAGACUCCUACGGGAGGCAGCAGUGGGGAAUAUUGCACAAUGGGCGCAAGCCUGAUGCAGCGACGCCGCGUGCGGGAUGGAGGCCUUCGGGUUGUAAACCGCUUUUGAUCGGGAGCAAGCCCUUCGGGGUGAGUGUACCCUUCGAAUAAGCACCGGCUAACUACGUGCCAGCAGCCGCGGUAAUACGUAGGGUGCAAGCGUUAUCCGGAAUUAUUGGGCGUAAAGGGCUCGUAGGCGGUUCGUCGCGUCCGGUGUGAAAGCCCAUCGCUUAACGGUGGGUCUGCGCCGGGUACGGGCGGGCUGGAGUGCGGUAGGGGAGACUGGAAUUCCCGGUGUAACGGUGGAAUGUGUAGAUAUC
RNAcentral lists this ribosomal RNA (529 nucleotides) under Bifidobacterium dentium. RNAcentral describes it as "bacterial SSU rRNA". It matches the Rfam family "Bacterial small subunit ribosomal RNA", at positions 159 to 698 of the family's 1533-position model. Lineage: Bacteria; Bacillati; Actinomycetota; Actinomycetes; Bifidobacteriales; Bifidobacteriaceae. The record is from RNAcentral.